RNAcentral lists this long non-coding RNA (586 nucleotides) under Cricetulus griseus (Chinese hamster). Its description in RNAcentral is "lncRNA (ENSCGRG00000024330.1)". Lineage: Eukaryota; Metazoa; Chordata; Mammalia; Rodentia; Cricetidae. The record is from RNAcentral.
CCUCUGAGCCAUCUCUCCAGCCCCAGAGUAGUAUCUUGCUUGUAUCUCUUGAGAGGUUCAGGGAGAGAUCAACCUGGUGAUUGUUUGGGGUGCAGGAGCUGGACUGUGACUGGCAACAGGCAGCAAGCAGUGUCCUGGUGGCUGUGGGGAAGCGAUUCAUCAACCAGGUGAUGGAGGAGGUGCUCAGCAGGUUCCAGCCUGGUGUUCUGCCACACUCCUCGGUGUUGCACACACUUGCCAGCCUGUCCGUGUCCAAUGCAUUUGGCAUGGUUCCCUUUCUGCCAUCCAUCCUGAGUACCAUGCUACCCAUGCUGGGUAUGGCCAAGCAGGAUGCGCUGAGGGUGGUAUUCUGCUGUGCAGAGUGGCCAUUCACUUGGAAGUACAUUCUUAUGCCUGAAAAUCACUCUAAGAUCCUUGAGAUCAGAAGGAAGAGCCUUGGGGCUGAGAGGAGCUGAGGAAUCCCAAGUCUCCUGCAGUUUUCAGGCCCUUCUAAUCUUAUAUCAGCAACCAAGAAUAGAGGGAGUUGAGGCCGUUGCCCACCUAAACGGAACCCUCAGAAGCCCAUCCUCAGGGAAAGGGGGACUGA